UGGGGAAUCUUGGACAAUGGGGGCAACCCUGAUCCAGCGAUGCCGCGUGAGCGAAGAAGGCCUUAGGGUUGUAAAGCUCUUUCGCCCGCGACGAUGAUGACGGUAGCGGGAGAAGAAGCCCCGGCUAACUCCGUGCCAGCAGCCGCGGUAAUACGGAGGGGGCUAGCGUUGUCCGGAAUUACUGGGCGUAAAGCGCGCGUAGGCGGUCCACCAAGUCGGGGGUGAAAGCCCGGGGCUCAACCCCGGAAUGUCCUCCGAGACUGUUGGACUGGAGUUCGGGAGAGGAGAGCGGAGUUCCCAGUGUAGAGGUGAAAUUCGUAGAUAUUGGGAAGAACACCGGUGGCGAAGGCGGCUCUCUGGCCCGCAACUGACGCUGAGGCGCGAAAGCGUGGGGAGCAAACA
This 402-nucleotide ribosomal RNA is filed under the name uncultured bacterium. Its description in RNAcentral is "bacterial SSU rRNA". It matches the Rfam family "Bacterial small subunit ribosomal RNA", at positions 355 to 774 of the family's 1533-position model. The record is from RNAcentral.